RNAcentral lists this ribosomal RNA (386 nucleotides) under Stutzerimonas balearica. RNAcentral's name for it is "bacterial SSU rRNA". It matches the Rfam family "Bacterial small subunit ribosomal RNA", at positions 30 to 410 of the family's 1533-position model. Lineage: Bacteria; Pseudomonadati; Pseudomonadota; Gammaproteobacteria; Pseudomonadales; Pseudomonadaceae. The record is from RNAcentral.
AUUGAACGCUGGCGGCAGGCCUAACACAUGCAAGUCGAGCGGUAGCACAGAGAAGCUUGCUUCUUGGGUGACGAGCGGCGGACGGGUGAGUAACGCGUGGGAAUCUGCCUGGUAGUGGGGGACAACAGUCGGAAACGACUGCUAAUACCGCAUACGCCCUUCGGGGGAAAGUGGGGGAUCUUCGGACCUCACGCUAUCAGAUGAGCCCGCGUCGGAUUAGCUUGUUGGUGAGGUAAGAGCUCACCAAGGCGAUGAUCCGUAGCUGGUCUGAGAGGAUGAUCAGCCACACUGGGACUGAGACACGGCCCAGACUCCUACGGGAGGCAGCAGUGGGGAAUAUUGGACAAUGGGGGCAACCCUGAUCCAGCCAUGCCGCGUGUGUGAAG